GUUGAUUACGGCAUUGGGAAAAGUACUCUAUUGUUGUAGACAAGGGGCAGUAGGAAGCAAGUGCCAUAGACAUGAUCGUGCCAGUAGGAUUGAGAGAAUCUUAAGCUUUUCAUGCAUCUGAUGGCAAUGCUGAACUGGUCUUGUCAAUGCAGGAACAACAGUACAUCACCAAAGGGGAGCAGCCAAUUGAAUUUCCAUGACAUCUAUGUUUCUAUUCAAAGCUAUUGGCCCUGUUGCUGGUGGUACAAUGCACAAAUAACUUCAAUAUUGAGGAUGGUCCAUUAUUGUGACAAAGUGCAUGUGCUUAGGGAGGCCAUUAAUAUCCUGUGGAAAUCGAGCAUGGUCCAUUAUAUAUUUUCUUUCUUCUUGAACUUCUCCUUUAAAAGUUUGAUUUUCUGCUCAGAACUUCUCCUGUGGAAGUUUGAGGAAAGGAAUCUUCAUUGCUGAAGCAGUUUUCAUCUUUGCAACCAUGAUUCUUAAAGUAUACUACUACAUGUACUUCACAAAGGCAACCACAACUCCACUUUCUCAGAAGACUAACAGGGUUAGUUCGUCAGUUGGAAUGACUGGAGAUACAUGAUGAAUCAUGGAUGAAUCAUGAAAGGGUAACAAAUUUUGAGUAUUCAUUCUAAUGGAUGUUAAACUCAAAGGCAAGUUAUUGUACCAUUUAAGUUUAGGUGAAGGGGAUAUACUAAGUUAAAUUUUUGGAAGCAUGUGUCAUAUGCAAUGAGGUUUCAGAUAAACUUUAUAUUGUAUUUUUUACUAUUAAUUAAUUAUUUGUCUGAGUAUUUUUUUAUUGUGACUUAAAUA
Trifolium pratense (red clover) is the source of this 810-nucleotide long non-coding RNA. RefSeq lists it as uncharacterized. Lineage: Eukaryota; Viridiplantae; Streptophyta; Magnoliopsida; Fabales; Fabaceae. The transcript is spliced from 5 exons. The record is from RefSeq and is a predicted model, not a curated record.